RNAcentral lists this ribosomal RNA (343 nucleotides) under uncultured soil bacterium. RNAcentral describes it as "bacterial SSU rRNA". It matches the Rfam family "Bacterial small subunit ribosomal RNA", at positions 26 to 371 of the family's 1533-position model. The record is from RNAcentral.
AGAUUGAACGCUGGCGGCAGGCCUAACACAUGCAAGUCGAGCGGCAGCACGGGUACUUGUACCUGGUGGCGAGCGGCGGACGGGUGAGUAAUGCCUAGGAAUCUGCCUGAUAGUGGGGGAUAACGUUCGGAAACGGACGCUAAUACCGCAUACGUCCUACGGGAGAAAGUGGGGGAUCUUCGGACCUCACGCUAUCAGAUGAGCCUAGGUCGGAUUAGCUAGUUGGUAGGGUAAAGGCCUACCAAGGCUACGAUCCGUAACUGGUCUGAGAGGAUGAUCAGUCACACUGGAACUGAGACACGGUCCAGACUCCUACGGGAGCAGCAGUGGGGAAUAUGGACAA